RNAcentral lists this long non-coding RNA (289 nucleotides) under Mytilus galloprovincialis (Mediterranean mussel). Lineage: Eukaryota; Metazoa; Mollusca; Bivalvia; Mytilida; Mytilidae. The record is from RNAcentral.
AGAUCUGUUCUUGAUUCAUUCCAACUUCUAUAUACACUGGAUAAAGUAUGGCCAGUUCCUGUUGAACAGUUAGUACAAUUCAUCGCUUAUUUAUCAUUGAAGCAUUUUUCUCCAGCUACAGUUCGAUUAUAUAUAAGUGGCAUUUCUUUUUCUCACAAGGAACGUAAUUUAGAGGAUACUACUAAGAAUUUUGUGGUAUCAAAAAUGCUUGAAGGUUUACACAGAAAUCACCCACAGAGAGACAAUAGGGCCCCGGUAACAUUACCAUUAUUACGACAGAUUACAGACG